This is a long non-coding RNA of Mytilus californianus (California mussel), 204 nucleotides long. RefSeq lists it as uncharacterized. The record is from RefSeq and is a predicted model, not a curated record. NCBI's taxonomy places the organism in Eukaryota, Metazoa, Mollusca, Bivalvia, Mytilida, Mytilidae. The transcript is spliced from 3 exons.
GGAAUGGAGUCAAAUAACUACUUUACAGCAAGGAACGUUUAAGGGCCUACCAGCACUCAAUAAUAUGUUUUGGGAUUACAGUCAAAUUACUACUAUACAAACUGGAGCGUUUGAAAACCUAAUAGCACUCACUACUCUAGUUUUAUGGAACAGACAAAUAACUACAAUACAAACAGGAGCAUUCAAAGACCUUCCAGCACUAAC